AGAAUCAACGCUGGCGGCGUGCCUAACACAUGCAAGUCGCACGAGAAAGGGUAGCAAUACCUGAGUAAAGUGGCGCACGGGUGAGUAACACGUGAAUUAUCUACCUCCGAGUGGGGAAUAACUGAGAGAAAUCUUAGCUAAUACCGCAUAACACUUACGAGUCAAAGCAGCAAUGCGCUUGGAGAGGAGUUCGCGGCAGAUUAGUUAGUUGGCGGGGUAAUGGCCCACCAAGACGAUGAUCUGUAUCCGGCCUGAGAGGGCGCACGGACACACUGGAACUGAAACACGGUCCAGACUCCUACGGAGGCAGCAGUGGGGAAUUUUGCGCAAUGGGGGAAACCCUGACGCAGCAACGCCGCGUGGAGGAUGAAAUAUCUUGGUAUGUAAACUCCUUUCGAUGGGGAAGAUUAUGACGGUACCCAUAGAAGAAGCCCGGCUAACUUCGCGCCAGCAGCCGCGGUAA
Molecule: ribosomal RNA, 463 nt
Filed under: uncultured bacterium
Lineage: Bacteria
Description: SSU rRNA
Rfam family: Bacterial small subunit ribosomal RNA
Source: RNAcentral